This is a long non-coding RNA of Anopheles merus, 256 nucleotides long. RefSeq lists it as uncharacterized. The transcript has 3 exons. NCBI's taxonomy places the organism in Eukaryota, Metazoa, Arthropoda, Insecta, Diptera, Culicidae. The record is from RefSeq and is a predicted model, not a curated record.
ACGAUCCAGUUACAAAGCAGCAAAAUGCGGCGCUCAAUGAACGACGGUAGUGCGGUAAAAUCAUGCAUAGCCUGUUACGCGGUAAGGUGCUUUUUGAAGCGUUUGUUUUAGAUUUCUGCUCUGAUUUUAUAGUUAGUAACAAAGAUCAACCUAAAUCUGGAUUAUAUUAAUGGUGGUAAAUUUUGGAUCGUCAAAUACGGUUAGUGUGGAGUAGGACAUGUCCGUCGCGGAGUCGUAGGUUGGUCGUAGGUUCAAG